Molecule: long non-coding RNA, 1903 nt
Organism: Xenia sp. Carnegie-2017
Lineage: Eukaryota; Metazoa; Cnidaria; Anthozoa; Malacalcyonacea; Xeniidae
Exons: 3
Source: RefSeq, a predicted model, not a curated record
UCAAGUGAAAUUAUUUUAAAAGAAAAGCAUAAUUCUAAAGAAGAAUUAACCUUUACUAAACGGUAUUUGUUUUUGGACUGCCUUAUCCAAACACACGGGAGAUAAGCGAGAUUUAAGUGAAGUGCUCAAAACAUGAGCCGAAGGCGAGUACUUUUGUACCGCUUUUCUUAACUCGAGCAACAUUCCCAAGAGUUUGGAAAAGCAUUUUAAUCAAUGAAAACCAUUUAGUGAAUGUUUUAUACAAUAACAACAAGAGAAGAGUGUUAACAACAUGAGAUUGUUCCUAAAAAUACAUCACUUUUUUUAAAUGUUUAUCCAUAUAAUAAAGUAAAUUUCAACCAAAUGUUUAAUUUUAAGAACUAGGAUGAAUCCACUACUCUUCAUAUUGCAGUACAGGAUCGAAAUGUCGAAGUCCUUAAAUUAUUGCUAGAACAUGAUUAUUCCAUGAUAAACUGCGAGACUAAAGAUAAACGGACAGCACUGAUGGAAGCUACCUUACAUGGCAAGAAAAACGUUUUGGAAUGUUUACAGGACAACAAGGCAGCCAUUACAAACGAUUAUGAAAUCAUUAACUGCAUGAAUUUGGCCAUUUAAAGGGGUGAUCAAGAUAGCGCUAUGAUACUAAUGUGUCAUAAUAGUAACCUUAAUUACCAUGUGUUUUCUUUAAAGCAAAAGAUAUUGCAUACCUAAGUUCACAAUGUAAGAAAAGUGUUACUUUAUCAGUAUAUUCGUUGAAUAAGAAUGGCUCUUGCUUAUAACGCAUUUCUUUUAAUAAACUUUAGAAAACGAAAAUUUAAGAACUUUGAUUUUUGUUUUCUGGUUUUGGAAAAAUCGUUUCACGAUCCUGAUUGCAAAGUUGGUUUCCGAAAACAUGUCAGAUGUGGCUUAUCAAGCUGUUUGUAACAGCAUGAUUUCCACAGGUGACCCAGAAUAUGAUAACUAUACAGUUGAAUACGACUUCAUAUGUUUACAAGGUAGUGCCAAAGGUAUGUUCACUCUGUUUUUAUUCUCUUCUUCACAUCGUUCUUUACUGUGCCAUUCAUUAAAAAGAAUAACAUCUUCAUAUAAAUAUGUUUUAUAACUUUUAUUUUACCUGCAUAGUGCAAUAUGAAGUCUACUAAACGUAAGCCUAGCACACAUGGCUGUCAAAGCGAUGGUGGAUAAUAAAAGCAACAAAUGUCUUUCUCAUCCUGUCUGCUUGAAAUAUCUUAAAGAAAAGUGAAGAAAUAACACAUGGAAAUAUUACACACUUGAAUUGUUUAUGUAUCUUGUGUUUUUACAAUUUUUUUAACUUCUAUGCAUUUAGCAUUCCCAGCUAUAAGACAACGCUUUUAAACAAAGAUGAUAGUUCAACAUAUAGCAUUCCUAACACGACACGAGGUAUUUUUAACAAAACAAAUGGCAUUCCUGUUUAUGAGAAAACAUCUCAAGACAACGAUAAUGCUUCCUUGACAAUGGCAAUGGCAGUUCGUUUGUUUUUUUCUGGCUAUGGUUGCAUUAGAGAAUUUUGUCAAGUAGUUCUUUACAAAUUGCACUUCUUUAUCUACGACAUGAACUUUUUGAAUGUGUUCUCUACAUAUACACAGUCAUUUUUCCUCGACGAUUUCUCAGUGAAAAGCCUGUUCCAUAGCAUUGUUUUCUACACGGCUUUAUCUGGUUACAAAUUUCACCCAAUUUCCAUACUUUAGUGUGCUGAUUUAUACAAUAAGAAGAAUGGAAUUCACAUUAUGCAUGGUUUACAUAUCACUUAAACAUCAAAAUAAUUUUUGGUAACACUGCGAGAAGUGUUGGAUUGAGUUGUGUAAGCUUUACAAUUAAAUGUUAUGACGAUUAAAAUUUUGUGGUCUGUAAAACCAUACUAUCUUUAUACAUGUUGAUAUAAAAAGUUUUUUGUUUCUGUUCA